ACAUUUUGUGUUUAACGUAAACCUUCCUGUCCCAACUACAUUGAAACAGUAAUGAUGCGACAAGUUCUUUGUAGAAAUACAGUACAACAUUGCUCUUGGUCUGCAGUAUGUAAAGCUAACGGUUUAAAGAGGAAAUCCUAAAGAGAAUAAAAGAGGUUGCAGUAUAAUGAGUCGUUGUGUAGAAGUUCUGGAGCCUACUCAAUAGACUUGAGAAGCUUAUUUAAGAACCUACUGGGUUGGUGACAUUUACAAGACAGAGUCUUGAGGAUUUUCCAGAACGGGAAAGAUUUUGAAAGAACAAAGAGGAACUACAGAAUCAUUGCUUACAUUGACACCGGCCCUGUUGUCCCAAUGGAUGGGUUUUUUUUGGAUGAACGUCAAAAUUGACCCUGCUGUUAAAGCUUGAAACUUGGAUCUGUUGUAUCUGAGUUCUCUCCUCAAAAAAAGACCUUCAGGAAGUAUCAGAUAACUGAAACAUACCAGAUCACAGCACCACAUGCCUCCUGCCCCUCCCUAAUUUCUGUUCUCUUAUACAUUGUUAAAUUUUUUUCCUGCCCCUAUUAGUCAAGCCCAUGGAUUUGAGACUGAGCUCCCAGCUCCUGGGCCGCAGCACCAGGUUAAAGCUUUCUUCCUUGGCAGUACUUGUCACCUCAGUGACUGGCUUUUUCUCCGAUGAGCAGGAGGACCUGGACGAAACCCCUAGUGUUUGGUCAAGGAACUUGAUGCUCCCUAAAUCCAAAUAUUACGGUUAAAAGAAGAGAGAGGAAAUGUGUGCAGAGAAAGUGUAUUUUACAAAUGAAUUAAAGGUGGAUUCUGAGAUACAGGUUUAUAGAUUUACCUAGAGUUUUGAGUUCAGGAAGCCAUCAUUCUUUAGAGGGCAAUGACCAAACAGUACCAGCAGAAAUUGAAGUACCAGCAGAAGGCUAAGAAGGGAUCAUGGCACAAGCUGCAGUUUCCACCCUGCCCAUUGAAGAUGAGGAGUCCAUGGAAGAUGAGGAGUCCGUUGAAGAUGAGUCUGUUGAAGAUGAGUCCGCAGAGAACAGGAUGGUGGUGACAUUGCUCAUAUCAGCUCUUGAGUCCAUGGAUCAUGGCACAAGUUGCAGUUUCCACCCUGCCCAUUGAAGAUGAGGAGUUUGUUGAAGAUGAGGAGUCCUUGGAGAGCAGGAUGGUGGUGACAUUCCUAAUGUCAGUUCUCGAGUCCACGGUCAGACCUUCUGUUCUCACAUUCUGUAGUUUGGUAGGACUGGGCAGUAGAUAAGGUUGAUUUAUUUUUGUAGAACUUACAAUUUUAUGAUUUUCAGUUGUAAUGAGUAGACCUUUUUCGUGAAUAGUAGUUAUGGUUAAACACCUCUAACCAAAUGUGCAUGUGGAGUUUCUACACUGAUUUUCAGACAAUCUGGAUCCCAACUGGGUAUCCCACAAUUCCAUCCUGACACUCCCUGGAGUUAGUGCAGACCCCGCAGGAUGGGGGCUCAGUCCCAGGAGUCUACCCUCACUCCACAUGCCAAUUGCAAGUCUUGGGUUGUCACAUGUAGUUUUGACCGACCAGUUAGAAAACAGGGUUUCAUGACCCCGUUGCUGGGUGGAAUCAUUUGCUCGGACAGCUUGCAGAACUCAGAAAAACAGGUUUUUUUUUUUUUUUUUUUCUGAGAUACAGGGUCUCAGUCUGUUGCCAGACUGGAAUGC
This 1686-nucleotide long non-coding RNA is filed under the name Homo sapiens (human). RNAcentral's name for it is "HSALNT0352555". Lineage: Eukaryota; Metazoa; Chordata; Mammalia; Primates; Hominidae. The record is from RNAcentral.